GUCCCCAUAGCUCAAUUGGAUAGAGCACCCGCCUUCUAAGCGGACGGUUGUGAGUUCGAUUCUCGCUGGGGGCGCCA
This 77-nucleotide transfer RNA is filed under the name Pelistega sp. Its description in RNAcentral is "tRNA-Arg". It matches the Rfam family "tRNA". Rfam says of the family: Transfer RNA (tRNA) molecules are approximately 80 nucleotides in length. Their secondary structure includes four short double-helical elements and three loops (D, anti-codon, and T loops). Lineage: Bacteria; Pseudomonadati; Pseudomonadota; Betaproteobacteria; Burkholderiales; Alcaligenaceae. The record is from RNAcentral.